CCUACGGGCGGCAGCAGUGAGGAAUAUUGGUCAAUGGGCGGAAGCCUGAACCAGCCAAGUCGCGUGCGGGAUGAAGGCCCUACGGGUCGUAAACCGCUUUUGCACUGGGAUAACACCCUCCACUUGUGGAGGUCUGCAUGUACCGUGCGAAUAAGGGCCGGCUAAUUCCGGUCCAGCAGCCGCGGUAAUACGGAAGGCCCGGGCGUUAGCCGGAUUCAUUGGGCUUGAAGGGAGCGUAGGCGGGCGUUAAAGUCAGCUGGAAAACCGCGCGGCUCAACCGCGCCCCGCAGUUGAAACUGGACGCCUUGAGUUCACAAGAGGCAGGCGGAAUUCGUGGUGUAGCGGUGAAAUGCAUAGAUAUCACGAGGAACCCCGAUUGCGAAGGCAGCCUGCCGGGGUGCGACUGACGCUGAGGCUCGAAGGUGCGGGUAUCAAACAGGAUUAGAUACCCCUGUAGUC
Molecule: ribosomal RNA, 459 nt
Filed under: uncultured bacterium
Lineage: Bacteria
Description: partial 16S ribosomal RNA
Rfam family: Bacterial small subunit ribosomal RNA
Source: RNAcentral